AUUUGUAGCGCAAUGGAUAGCGCGUUGGAAUUCUGGUCCAAUGGGCGUGGGUUCGAAUUCCACCUGGGAUG
This is a non-coding RNA of Trichonephila inaurata madagascariensis, 71 nucleotides long. Lineage: Eukaryota; Metazoa; Arthropoda; Arachnida; Araneae; Nephilidae. The record is from the annotation of a GenBank genome assembly.